Molecule: transfer RNA, 91 nt
Filed under: marine sediment metagenome
Description: tRNA-Thr
Rfam family: tRNA
About the family: Transfer RNA (tRNA) molecules are approximately 80 nucleotides in length.
Source: RNAcentral
GCUGUCGUAGCUCAAUUUGGUAGAGCAUCUGGCCUGUAAAAAUAUAUUUUAGGAGACCAGGAGGUUAAGGGUUCGAUUCCCUUCGGCAGCU